GACGAACGCUGGCGGCGUGCUUAACACAUGCAAGUCGAACGGAAAGGCCCUGCUUUUGUGGGGUGCUCGAGUGGCGAACGGGUGAGUAACACGUGAGUAACCUGCCCUUGACUUUGGGAUAACUUCAGGAAACUGGGGCUAAUACCGGAUAGGAGCUCCUGCUGCAUGGUGGGGGUUGGAAAGUUUCGGCGGUUGGGGAUGGACUCGCGGCUUAUCGGCUUGUUGGUGGGGUAGUGGCUUACCAAGGCUUUGACGGGUAGCCGGCCUGAGAGGGUGACCGGCCACAUUGGGACUGAGAUACGGCCCAGACUGCUACGGGAGGCAGCAGUGGGGAAUAUUGCACAAUGGGCGGAAGCCUGAUGCAGCAACGCCGCGUGCGGGAUGACGUCCUUCGGGUUGUAAACCGCUUUCGCCUGUGACGAAGCGUGAGUGACGGUAAUUGGUAAAGAAGCACCGGCUAACUACGUG
RNAcentral lists this ribosomal RNA (468 nucleotides) under uncultured bacterium. RNAcentral's name for it is "partial 16S ribosomal RNA". It matches the Rfam family "Bacterial small subunit ribosomal RNA", at positions 28 to 507 of the family's 1533-position model. The record is from RNAcentral.